GUAUCAUGGCUCAGGACGAACGCUGGCGGCGUGCCUAAUACAUGCAAGUCGAGCGAAGUUUUUCUGGUGCUUUGCACCGGAAAAACUUAGCGGCGAACGGGUGAGUAACACGUAAAGAACCUGCCUCAUAGACUGGGACAACUAUUGGAAACGAUAGCUAAUACCGGAUAACAGCAUUAACUGCAUGGUUGAUGUUUAAAAGUUGGUUUUUGCUAACACUAUGAGAUGGCUUUGCGGUGCAUUAG
Molecule: ribosomal RNA, 245 nt
Filed under: uncultured bacterium
Lineage: Bacteria
Description: partial 16S ribosomal RNA
Rfam family: Bacterial small subunit ribosomal RNA
Source: RNAcentral